This 253-nucleotide ribosomal RNA is filed under the name uncultured bacterium. Its description in RNAcentral is "partial 16S ribosomal RNA". It matches the Rfam family "Bacterial small subunit ribosomal RNA", at positions 524 to 776 of the family's 1533-position model. The record is from RNAcentral.
UACGGAGGGGGCUAGUGUUGUUCGGAAUUACUGGGCGUAAAGGGCUCGUAGGCGGCCAACUAAGUCGGACGUGAAAUCCCCAGGCUCAACCUGGGAACUGCGUCCGAUACUGGAUGGCUUGAAUCCGGGAGAGGGAUGCAGAAUUCCAGGUGUAGCGGUGGAAUGCGUAGAUAUCUGGAGGAAUACCGGUGGCGAAGGCAGCAUCCUGGACCGGCAUUGACGCUGAGGAGCGAAAGCCAGGGGAGCAAACGGG